CCUACGGGAGGCAGCAGUGGGGGAUAGUGCACAAUGGGGGGAACCCUGAUGCAGCGACGCCGCGUGGGUGAAGAAGGGCCUCGGCGCGGAAAGCCCUGUCAGCAGGGAAGAAAAUGACGGUACCUGAAGAAGAAGCCGCGGCUAACUACGUGCCAGCAGCCGCGGUAAGACGUCGGGGGCAAGCGUAAUCCGGAGUUACUGGGGGUAAAGGGGGCGCAGACGGCGAUGCAAGCCAGGAGUGAAAGCCCGGGGCCCCACCCCGGGACGGCUCUUGGAACUGCGUGGCUGGAGUGCAGGAGGGGCAUGCCGACUUCCUGUUGUAGCGGUGAAAUGCGUAGAUAUCAGGCGGAACCCCGGUUGCGAAGGCGGCCUGCUGGACUGCAACUGACGUUGAUGCCCGAACGCGUGGGUAGCAAACAGGAUUAGAUACCCGGGUAGUC
RNAcentral lists this ribosomal RNA (440 nucleotides) under uncultured bacterium. RNAcentral's name for it is "partial 16S ribosomal RNA". It matches the Rfam family "Bacterial small subunit ribosomal RNA", at positions 338 to 795 of the family's 1533-position model. The record is from RNAcentral.